Molecule: ribosomal RNA, 253 nt
Filed under: uncultured bacterium
Lineage: Bacteria
Description: partial 16S ribosomal RNA
Rfam family: Bacterial small subunit ribosomal RNA
Source: RNAcentral
UACGGGGGGGGCAAGCGUUGUUCGGAAUUACUGGGCGUAAAGGGUUCGUAGGUGGCCAACUAAGUCAGACGUGAAAUCCCCCGGCUUAACCUGGGAACUGCGUCUGAUACUGGAAGGCUUGAGGAUGGGAGAGGGAUGUAGAAUUCCAGGUGUAGCGGUGAAAUGCGUAGAUAUCUGGAGGAAUACCGGUGGCGAAGGCGGCAUCCUGGACCAUUACUGACGCUGAGGCGCGAAAGCUAGGGGAGCAAACGGG